AUUUAACGCUGGCGGAAUGCUUUACACAUGCAAGUCGAACGGCAGCACGGACUUCGGUCUGGUGGCGAGUGGCGAACGGGUGAGUAUUGUAUCGGAACGUGCCCAGUCGUGGGGGAUAACGUAGUGAAAAUUACGCUAAUACCGCAUACGAUCUAUGGAUGAAAGCGGGGGAUCGCAAGACCUCGCGCGAUUGGAGCGGCCGAUAUCAGAUUAGGUAGUUGGUGGGGUAAAGGCCCACCAAGCCAACGAUCUGUAGCUGGUCUGAGAGGACGACCAGCCACACGGGAACUGAGACACGGUCCAGACUCCGACGGGAGGCAGAAGUGGGGAAUUUUGGACAAUGGGCGAAAGCCUGAUCCAGCCAUUCCGCGUGCAGGAUGAAGGCCCUCGGGUUGUAAACUGCUUUUGUACAGAACGAAAGGGUUUCUACUAAUACUAGGAGCUCAUGACGGUACUGUAAGAAUAAGCACCGGCUAACUACGUGCCAGCCGCCGCGGUAA
Molecule: ribosomal RNA, 500 nt
Filed under: uncultured bacterium
Lineage: Bacteria
Description: partial 16S ribosomal RNA
Rfam family: Bacterial small subunit ribosomal RNA
Source: RNAcentral